UUACAACUGGAACACAAAACUCAACACAGAUUUGAUACAGAACAGCUUAAAAACGGGGGGAAAAACUCUAAGAAGGAAAGCAUGUACACAAUCACAACUGAAUAAUAACAUAUAUGUGUGUGUGUGUGUGUAUACACUUCAUAUACACACGCUUUUUCAAGACCCAAAGAAUCCCAAAAAAAUUAGAUAUACCAAACAAAAACACCCAUCAGUUGGCAAAAAAUAAAUAAGAAGUCAUUCAUGAAAUUUCAAGGCAAAACCACCCAAUCAAAACCCAAAACAUCCUGAAUUACUGGUUACAUUGAAAAACAGAAAUUUCAAACCCCUAAUUAGAAACAGGGGGAAGGGUUUUAAAGAAAUGAACCCUAAUCAAACUGCUUAUAAGAGACUCAUACUACUCCAUUUUGAUUUCCCAUAAAUGUUCAAGAAAUAUACAGUCAGUCAACUAAAUUAGAGAAACAUAUCAAACAGAAAAAGAAAUCAAAAAAGGGGGCACAAAUAAUUUUUGGAGAAACUUCCAUUUUCAUCAUUUUAGUUAUACAAUAAAAUUAUAUACAUAUACACACACAAACACACAUAAAUACAGAGAAAUGAAAAAAGCCAUGAAAACAUAUAGAG
RNAcentral lists this long non-coding RNA (618 nucleotides) under Panax ginseng (ginseng). Its description in RNAcentral is "long non-coding RNA (PGIN_LNC012778)". The record is from RNAcentral. Lineage: Eukaryota; Viridiplantae; Streptophyta; Magnoliopsida; Apiales; Araliaceae.